This 579-nucleotide ribosomal RNA is filed under the name uncultured Pseudomonadota bacterium. RNAcentral's name for it is "bacterial SSU rRNA". It matches the Rfam family "Bacterial small subunit ribosomal RNA", at positions 97 to 651 of the family's 1533-position model. The record is from RNAcentral. Lineage: Bacteria; Pseudomonadati; Pseudomonadota.
GGCGCACGGGUGAGUAACACGUGGGUAAUCUACCUUCGGAUUUGGAAUAACCCAGGGAAACUUGGGCUAAUACCGGAUAAGACCACGGUUCUAACAGUUUCGUGGUAAAAGCGGAGGACCUCCUCGGAGGCUUCGCGUCUGAAGAUGAGCCCGCGGUCCAUCAGGUAGUUGGCGGGGUAACGGCCCACCAAGCCAUAGACGGAUAGCUGGUCUGAGAGGAUGAUCAGCCACACUGGAACUGAGACACGGUCCAGACUCCUACGGGAGGCAGCAGUGGGGAAUUUUGCGCAAUGGGCGCAAGCCUGACGCAGCAACGCCGCGUGAGUGAUGAAGGUCUUCGGAUCGUAAAGCUCUGUCGGCGGGAACGAUGCUUUCGCUGGAUAACACCCAGCGGAAUCGACGGUACUCGCAAAGGAAGCACCGGCUAACUCUGUGCCAGCAGCCGCGGUAAGACAGAGGGUGCGAGCGUUGUUCGGAAUCAUUGGGCGUAAAGGGCGCGUAGGCGGCUUGGCAAGUUGGAUGUGAAAGCCCCGGGCCUAACCCGGGAAGUGCAUCCAAAACUGCUUUGCUUGAGUCCUG